CUGGCGGCAGGCCUAACACAUGCAAGUCGAACGGUAGCAGGAAGAAGCUUGCUCUUGCUGACGAGUGGCGGACGGGUGAGUAAUGUCUGGGAAACUGCCUGAUGGAGGGGGAUAACUACUGGAAACGGUAGCUAAUACCGCAUAACGUCGCAAGACCAAAGAGGGGGACCUUCGGGCCUCUUGCCAUCGGAUGUGCCCAGAUGGGAUUAGCUAGUAGGUGGGGUAACGGCUCACCUAGGCGACGAUCCCUAGCUGGUCUGAGAGGAUGACCAGCCACACUGGAACUGAGACACGGUCCAGACUCCUACGGGAGGCAGCAGUGGGGAAUAUUGCACAAUGGGCGCAAGCCUGAUGCAGCCAUGCCCGCGUGUAUGAAGAAGGCCUUCGGGUUGUAAAGUACUUUCAGCGGGGAGGAAGGGAGUAAAGUUAAUACCUUUGCUCAUUGACGUUACCCGCAGAAGAAGCACCGGCUAACUCCGUGCCAGCCGCCGC
RNAcentral lists this ribosomal RNA (492 nucleotides) under uncultured bacterium. RNAcentral describes it as "bacterial SSU rRNA". It matches the Rfam family "Bacterial small subunit ribosomal RNA", at positions 36 to 518 of the family's 1533-position model. The record is from RNAcentral.